Molecule: long non-coding RNA, 843 nt
Organism: Saimiri boliviensis boliviensis (Bolivian squirrel monkey)
Lineage: Eukaryota; Metazoa; Chordata; Mammalia; Primates; Cebidae
Source: RefSeq, a predicted model, not a curated record
UUCUGGCUCGUUUUGCAGCUUGCUAAGUGAGUGGGUGUUGCGGGCGAGUAUGCCAGCAAAAGAUGGUGGCGCAGGCAGAGAUAGGAGCUUUAGUACUGUGAAGCCAUCUUAGAGGUGAGCUUAGAGAGCUGAGGGUUGAAAGCUUGCACGUGGGAAAACGCGCGGCCGGACUGCCACCUGUACUGAGGUUGAGUCCUGGCGGCCACAGGCUCCCGAGUUUUGGCGUGAAGAGGCAGUUGAUCAGCGGCUGGCGCCGCGCGCUUGCAGGCCUCCCGCACGAGCCUGAACGGCGGGGGGAAAUCAUAGUUACGGGAUUGAGGCAGAGGGUUAGUUUUAAGAGCCUUUAAAAUGGCGAAGACCUUCCGUCGGCGUUAUUUUAAAAUGGAUAGUCUCGACCCUGUGCUGAGAUUGAGCUGUUUGAAGGCGGCAUUGUGUGCAAUUUGGAUUAACGAAAGAAACAAUGGCGCUGUCUUUCAGUGACACAGCGGAGCCUCUCGGUGAAGAUGCAGAGGUACGUUAAAAAAAUUCCAGCACAUCUGGGAGAAUAUUUAAUGGAAAAUCGCUUGGUUAAAACCUAACACUCUUAACAGCGUUCUGGGUGCUGACAAGUAGCUAAUGAAGAUAUGAAUGUCAGAUGUCACUGACUAGCAGCUUCAUUUUGAAUGAGGGUCGCUGUCUGCCCAUUGAUAGAGGCCAGAUUGUCUUGGAAGUUCCAAAGUUGCAACGAUUUCUGGCUAGUACCACGAGGUUUACUUGACUGUGGUAUGAAAAGCUGAUAAGAAAACCAUCCAGAAAAAAAGCUCUUCGUUUUACAAACAUGAAAAUAAAACAUGUAAUUUUGGA